This 107-nucleotide small RNA is filed under the name Marmota monax (woodchuck). The record is from RNAcentral. Lineage: Eukaryota; Metazoa; Chordata; Mammalia; Rodentia; Sciuridae.
UCCAGGCAUGGCAGACCAUGCCUGUAAUCCCAACAACUCAGGAGGCUGAGGCAAGAGGAUCACAAGUUCAAAGCCGGCCUCAGCAAAUUUGUGAGGUCCUGUCUCAA